Molecule: long non-coding RNA, 678 nt
Organism: Panthera uncia (snow leopard)
Lineage: Eukaryota; Metazoa; Chordata; Mammalia; Carnivora; Felidae
Exons: 3
Source: RefSeq, a predicted model, not a curated record
CUCCCGUGAUGUGACGCGCCAGGCACAUAGGAACCUUGCACAACCUGUCGUGCUAUCCCUCACGGUAACCUCAUCAGGCUGGAAUCCGUGUCCCCGUAGAGGCCCAAGGACGGAGGACGGCCCCGGUGGAUGCACGGUGACAUCAGGCUGCAGGCCUGAGGGUGCGGGACGGGAUCCUGAACCCCGCACUGCCGCUCCCGGUGGGACAGGGACGGGGUCUGACGCCGACCGUCUCUGCUGGUGCCUGGCUGACAGCGGCCCGUGUCUGUUGAGAAGAGUGAUGCUCCAAGGGAAGAGUAUCAGGAUCGAUUUGGGGACCGGGGGACAGUUUAUUUUCUUUUUCAGUAAUCUCUACGCCCAACGUGUGGCUCGCUCAUGACCCUGAGGUCAAGAGUUGCACACUUCACCGACCGAGCCAGCCCGGUGCCCUAGUAACAUAUUUUCGGAGAGAGAGACAGAGCAUGAACAGGGGAGGGGCAGAGAGAGAGGGAGACACAGAAUCCGAAACAGGCUCCAGGCUCCGAGCUGUCGGCACAGAGACCUACGCGGGGCUCGAACUCACGGACCGCGAGAUCACGACCUGAGCUGAAGUCGGACGCUCAACCGGCUGAGCCCCCCAGGCGCCCCUCGUUCCAGUGUUUUUUAAUAAGGUUCACUAUAAAUGUGUAUUUGCUCUUA